GCUUUGUUAGUGUUUCAAUGGUC
RNAcentral lists this non-coding RNA (23 nucleotides) under Arabidopsis thaliana (thale cress). Lineage: Eukaryota; Viridiplantae; Streptophyta; Magnoliopsida; Brassicales; Brassicaceae. The record is from RNAcentral.